Molecule: ribosomal RNA, 253 nt
Filed under: uncultured bacterium
Lineage: Bacteria
Description: partial 16S ribosomal RNA
Rfam family: Bacterial small subunit ribosomal RNA
Source: RNAcentral
UACGUAGGGUGCAAGCGUUAAUCGGAAUUAUUGGGCGUAAAGAGCUCGUAGGCGGUCUGUCGCGUCUGCUGUGAAAACUCAGGGCUUAACCCUGAGCUUGCAGUGGGUACGGGCAGACUAGAGUGCGGUAGGGGAGACUGGAAUUCCUGGUGUAGCGGUGAAAUGCGCAGAUAUCAGGAGGAACACCGGUGGCGAAGGCGGGUCUCUGGGCCGUAACUGACGCUGAGGAGCGAAAGCAUGGGGAGCGAACAGG